AACGAACGCUGGCGGCAGGCUUAACACAUGCAAGUCGAACGCCCCGCAAGGGGAGUGGCGCACGGGUGAGUAACGCGUGGAUAUCUGCCUUUUGGUUCGGAAUAACCCCGGGAAACUGGGGCUAAUACCGGAUGGUUCCUACGGGAUAAAGAUUUAUCGCCAAAAGAUGAGUCCGCGUACGAUUAGCUAGUUGGUGAGGUAAUGGCUCACCAAGGCGACGAUCGUUAGCUGGUCUGAGAGGACGAUCAGCCACACUGGGACUGAGACACGGCCCAGACUCCUACGGGAGACAGCAGUGGGGAAUAUUGGACAAUGGGGGCAACCCUGAUCCAGCCAUGCCGCGUGAGUGAUGAAGGCCUUCGGGUUGUAAAGCUCUUUUGGCGGGGACGAUGAUGACGGUACCCGCAGAAUAAGCCCCGGCUAACUUCGUGCCAGCAGCCGCCGCAG
RNAcentral lists this ribosomal RNA (447 nucleotides) under uncultured bacterium. Its description in RNAcentral is "partial 16S ribosomal RNA". It matches the Rfam family "Bacterial small subunit ribosomal RNA", at positions 29 to 523 of the family's 1533-position model. The record is from RNAcentral.